This 659-nucleotide ribosomal RNA is filed under the name uncultured bacterium. RNAcentral's name for it is "bacterial SSU rRNA". It matches the Rfam family "Bacterial small subunit ribosomal RNA", at positions 38 to 688 of the family's 1533-position model. The record is from RNAcentral.
GGCGGCAUGCUUUACACAUGCAAGUCGAGCGGCGGCGCGUUCCCGUAAGGGGAUGGCGGCGAGCGGCGAACGGGUGAGUAAUGCAUCGGAACGUGUCCCGUAGAGGGGGAUAGCCCGGCGAAAGCCGGAUUAAUACCGCAUACGCUCUACGGAGGAAAGGGGGGGAUCUUAGGACCUCUCGCUGCAGGGGCGGCCGAUGGCAGAUCAGCUAGUUGGUGGGGUAAAGGCCUACCAAGGCGACGAUCUGUAGCUGGUCUGAGAGGACGACCAGCCACACUGGGACUGAGACACGGCCCAGACUCCUACGGGAGGCAGCAGUGGGGAAUUUUGGACAAUGGGCGCAAGCCUGAUCCAGCAAUGCCGCGUGUGUGAAGAAGGCCUUCGGGUUGUAAAGCACUUUUGUCCGGAAAGAAAACUUCUGGGUUAAUACCCUGGGAGGAUGACGGUACCGGAAGAAUAAGCACCGGCUAACUACGUGCCAGCAGCCGCGGUAAUACGUAGGGUGCAAGCGUUAAUCGGAAUUACUGGGCGUAAAGCGUGCGCAGGCGGUUCGCUAAGACAGAUGUGAAAUCCCCGGGCUUAACCUGGGAACUGCAUUUGUGACUGGCGGGCUAGAGUAUGGCAGAGGGGGGUAGAAUUCCACGUGUAGCAGUGAAAUG